Molecule: long non-coding RNA, 1695 nt
Organism: Carassius gibelio (silver crucian carp)
Lineage: Eukaryota; Metazoa; Chordata; Actinopteri; Cypriniformes; Cyprinidae
Exons: 3
Source: RefSeq, a predicted model, not a curated record
CGUGAGUUAAGUGUGUGAUUUCGGUCAUAUUAAAAUAGAGAAGUAGGAUUGAAGUUCCUCCUUUUGUUCAUUUAAAAAGGCUCCCCAUGUAGUUCAGAUGUCAGAGCUGCAUGAUGAUUCCUCUUAUUGGCUCAACACAAGAUUCAGAUGUUGUGUAGAACAGGAGUAAUGAGAGAAAACUGCUGGAUCAUUAGAAACCACAGACGAGGAAGAAACAACAGCACAGAGAGAGAAAUGGAGGAUAGAAAUGAGACACAAACCUGUGGAUCACAAGAGAAAAGAAGAAAAAGACUUGUUAGAUGGAAGAGUAUGGAGAAAUUAAAACCAAAGCUCUGAGAUGAUCCAGAUGAUUCUGCUGUCAAAUCAAACCAAAACUCUUCAUCGUGUUCUCAAGAACACAUAACAUCAGUGAGACACCAGCAGCUGAAGACCUGAUCUUCAUCAUCAUCAUCAUCAUCAUCAGGAGAGUCCAGCUACUAAUGACUGAAGAUCAUCACACAGACUCCAUUAACUCAGUCUGUUCAGAUCCUGCACUCUUUCUCAGACUCAUCUGAUCAGAAACAGACUCUUCCUCGGAUCUGUGUCUGUAUUCUGCACUUUACUGACAACACUCAGCACAUCACAGUUCCCUGGAUUUGACAGUGAUUUAUAUCAUUUAAGACAUGGAGACACUCUGUGAAAACACAAGAUAAGACAAGACCAAGUACAAACAAAACAAACACACAUCUUGUUAAAUGACUUCAGUUCACCUUUGGAUUGAGGAAACUGAGGUAGCUGAUGGAAACACAAGAUAAGACAAGAGACCAAGUACAAUCACAGAAAAACUACAAACUAAACCAGUUCUCACACUGUAAUCAUUUACUGUGAGACAACACUGCCUCCCACUGAGCCACAAUAUAUUCAUGCAAAUAUAUAGUCAUAUUUGUAAAUUAUUUUAUACCAUUUUUAUUUUGUACAAUAUACAUUUGUAUUUUCACACUAACAAGAAGUAAUAUUCACUAUGCAUUGUAUUUAAUAGUGUUACAAUGUUAUCUGGCUUUCUUCUGCUACAUUUGACUUGAGCCAAUCACCGGAGCUGUAAAUGUCACAUGACCACACAGUUCUGGAGCUGCUGGGAAAUUACGUUGUGUUACAGACUCAAAGCUUAACUACUGACUUUCACAGACAGCAGACAGGACAAUAAAGUAUGCUUCACACUUCAAGGUCGCGCAUGCAAACGCAGCAGUAGGUCACUGAAACACUUCUGAAAACGUCUGCCAGGAUGAAGAUCUGUUGGUUAGAGUAUCUCAGGCAGAACUUUACAAAAGGUCAUUUCAACAAGCUCUGGAUUAACAAUAUAAUAAAUCAGUGUUAUUCCUUCAGUAGUACAGAUUAUACAAAUAAUUUAAUUCCAGUUCAUAUUUAACUAUUCUCUAAAGUUUAUAAUACAUUGUGAAGAAAUAAUAAAUCAUUAUUUUCAGUGUUUUAAAUGAAUAUAGUGUGGCAUACAGCAAUUUAUAUAUAAAAAUAUGCACUAUAUGAAAAACCAUACAGUAUAACACAUUCAUCUACUACUGCAUAUCUUAUCUAAUAAACUGAUAAUAAAAGACAUACACGACUCAAUAAGUGUCUGAAUUUGAUAAAUAUUCUGCUGUUAGACAAAAGGAACAACCUCUUUCUAAAGAGAGAAAGUGUUUGUAACACACAGCUGUAGAU